Molecule: ribosomal RNA, 460 nt
Filed under: uncultured bacterium
Lineage: Bacteria
Description: partial 16S ribosomal RNA
Rfam family: Bacterial small subunit ribosomal RNA
Source: RNAcentral
CCUACGGGUGGCAGCAGUGAGGAAUAUUGGUCAAUGGACGAGAGUCUGAACCAGCCAAGUAGCGUGAAGGAUGACUGCCCUAUGGGUUGUAAACUUCUUUUAUAUGGGAAUAAAAUGUUCCACGUGUGGGAUUUUGUAUGUACCAUAUGAAUAAGGAUCGGCUAACUCCGUGCCAGCAGCCGCGGUAAUACGGAGGAUCCGAGCGUUAUCCGGAUUUAUUGGGUUUAAAGGGAGCGUAGGUGGACUGUUAAGUCAGUUGUGAAAGUUUGCGGCUCAACCGUAAAAUUGCAGUUGAAACUGGCAGUCUUGAGUACAGUAGAGGUGGGCGGAAUGCGUGGUGUAGCGGUGAAAUGCUUAGAUAUCACGAAGAACUCCGAUUGCGAAGGCAGUUCACUGGACUGCAACUGACGCUGAGGCUCGAAAGUGUGGGUAUCAAACAGGAUUAGAUACCCUGGUAGUC